AUCUCUUGGCUCUCGCAUCGAUGAAGAACGCAGCGAAAUGCGAUACGUAAUGUGAAUUGCAGAAUUCAGUGAAUCAUCGAAUCUUUGAACGCAUAUUGCGCUCUUUGGUAUUCCGAAGAGCAUGCUUGUUUGAGUAUCAGUAAACACCUCAACCUCCUC
This 159-nucleotide ribosomal RNA is filed under the name Mortierella alpina. Its description in RNAcentral is "5.8S ribosomal RNA". The stretch from base 1 to 139 matches the Rfam family "5.8S ribosomal RNA". Rfam says of the family: 5.8S ribosomal RNA (5.8S rRNA) is a component of the large subunit of the eukaryotic ribosome. Lineage: Eukaryota; Fungi; Mortierellomycota; Mortierellomycetes; Mortierellales; Mortierellaceae. The record is from RNAcentral.